This is an RNA transcript of Loxodonta africana (African savanna elephant), 41635 nucleotides long. It is a transcript of the gene named signal-regulatory protein beta-1-like, with no coding region annotated. The record is from RefSeq and is a predicted model, not a curated record. Lineage: Eukaryota; Metazoa; Chordata; Mammalia; Proboscidea; Elephantidae. The transcript is spliced from 9 exons.
ACUGUGGCUGCAAAUCCAGGGGCCUUCAGUAGACAUGACUGAGGCUCACUGUAACCACUGAUACCACUGGAGUGGGGAAAGCAGGGCCCCCAUCCCCUGAGACCUCCACCAAAACGCAGUGCUGGCCCUAAGGAGCUCUACCCCUGACUCAAGCUGUGCAGUUCAUCUGAGCUUAUGCUGGGCAGGUACAGGAGGCUGAACACGCCUUUCACCGCCUCAAGGUUCUGGGGCAGAAGCCUUCACCCAGCCCAUGUCUUUGGGGCUCCUGGAUGAGGAAGGGCCAUCAGCGCCCCUGAGAUGGCAUGUAGGGCCCAGGGACAGAGCCUGGGUACUAAAGGGGUUGGCCAGGACUUCUCCAAAUAUCAUCAUUUCUUGGAACCCUCAUCUCAGGAACCUCUUAGAUUGUGUCUGGUUCCUAUUUCACAAUCUAGAAGCAGAAACUGCCAGCCCUUUCUUCCCAUCACAGUCACUUCCUCUGACAUCACAGGAGAAAAGCCAGCAUUUCUUCACACAGAACAGAGUCUAGGGCUUCCUCAGGGCAACACUGGCACAGAGCAACCUCCAGGGACCAUGACAAUGCUGGUCUCUGCCACCCAGCCCCGCCUGCCUCUGCCUUCCUUGCUGCUGCCUCUGCUGCUAGGACUCACAGGAGUGACAGGUGAGCAGGAGCUGCAGGUGACUCAGCGUGAGACAUCGGUGUCAGUCGCAGCUGGAGAGGCGGUCACUCUGCCCUGCGACAUCUCCUCUCCGCAACCCGUGGGUCCCACCCAGUGGUUCAAGGGGAAUGGACCAGAUCGGCAGUUAGUCUACAGUUUCAAAGGAGGCCUAGACCGAGUACACCUCUUCCCCCGAGUAACGAAUGCUACAGACCCAACAAUAAGAGGCAACACGGACUAUUCCAUCCACAUCAGGAACAUCACCCCAGCAGACGCCGGCACCUACUUCUGUGUCAAGUUCAGGAAGGGGAGCCCUGAGGACGUGGAGUUUAAGUCUGGUCCUGGGACACAGUUGACUGUGAGUGGAGUGACAGGUGAGCAGGAGCUGCAGGUGACUCAGGGUAAGAAGUCGGUGUCAGUCGUGGCUGGAGAGGCGGUCACUCUGCCCUGCGUCGUCUCCUCUCUGCAACCCGUGGGGCCUGUCCAGUGGUUCAAGGGGAAUGGACCAGAUCGGCAGUUAGUCUACAGUUUCAAAGGAGGCCUAGACCGCGUACGCCUCUUCCCCCGAGUAACAAAUGUUACAGACGACACAAAGAGAAACAACUUGGACUAUUCCAUCCACAUCAGGAACAUCACCCCAGCAGAGGCCGGCACCUACUUCUGUGUCAAGUUCAGGAAAGGGAGCCCUGAGGACGUUGAGGUGAAGUCUGGUCCUGGGACACAGGUGACUGUGAGUGACCCAGAGCAGUCAACUCUAUGCGUCCUCCUCGGAGGCCUACCCCUAGGCCUCAAGGUGCUGCUAGUGGUUGUUGUCUCUGCCAUCUAUGUCUACAUGAAGCAGAGGGCCUGAAUCUACUUCUUUCUUCACAUGAAGGCCCAGCCUGAGGGAAGGUGCCAGAUGAAAGCUUCCUCAGAUUCUGCUCCAUGUGUCUCUUUGCUCCUCACACCUGCCUGCCCACACCCUUCUGUGGUCCCUUCUCAAAGUCCUUGGUUACUCCAGGGCCAGGUCCUGGGAACUGGCUCUGAGGACUGACUCACCCCCACUUCCCCUAGAAUAUGAGAAAAAUUCAAGUUUCCUAAACAUAUCAAGAUAUGUCUCAUCUGCUGGUCUGUGACUCGGCCAUAAACCACAUACUCAAGUCUGUGAAGUCAACAAUUCUUCUGGCCUUUUGGAUUCCUGCCAACCCCUGACUCCCCAGGCUUGCCUCCUGAACAUAAAUGGACCCCUAACUCUAUUUAAAAAAGAAAAACUAUUUUCCUCUCCCUCUUAGCCCAAGUGUCCUACUCCUCAAACUCAGAAGAAGUUUUCCCUCCACUUUCUGUGAUGGGAACACUAGUUCUUAUAUCAUCCUUUACCCUCCCCUAUCCUGUUGCUCAUGGUGCACGUGCUGUGACCAUCCAAAAACUUUUUAUACUCCAUAUUCAGUUCUGCCUUCAAAAUGUUUAUAUGCAGGUGGCAACAGACUUAUAAAUGUUAAACGACUGUCCAAAACAAAAAUCCUGAUUUGUAGUAUUUGCCAAUUUCUGUGAUGUAAAUAUUCCCACCAGGCCAACUUCAAACUACUAACAGUUUAGCAACCAGACUGAAAAAUUCCUGAAAUUUUAACAAUCAGCUGUCAUGAACCAGUACGAGCCACUCCAGUACACCAGUGAUUAUAUCCAUCAUCUCUACACCUCACCUCCGCCACUACUCCCUGGUCCCAGCCACCAUGAUCUCUUCCUGUAUCAUUGCUACCCUAUAACUGGCUUCUCUCUUUCAGGCUUUGCUCUUAAAGAAGCUAGAAUGAUUCUUAGGAAACAUGAGUCAUAUCAUAUCUUUCCUCUGCUUCUUCUCAGACAUAUCUGCCUGGCUCACUCCCUCCUUUCUUUCAAGUCUCUGCUUAAAUGUCACUUUAUUAAAUAAAGACACUUUCUGUAAACCGCCUUAUGUAAAAUAUCAAUUCCCCCUCUCACUUGGCAUUUCAAUUCCUCUUAGCCUAAUUAAUGUUUGUCAUAGCACUAUUACCAUCUGACAUACUAAAGAUGAGCAGCCUUCUGCAUGGUAGUUGCAGGAUCAAAAAAAUGACCAUAUAAAUUGAAACCAUGGAAAGUGGUCUCAAAAAUCGAUGAAAAAAAUGAUUGUUCAAUGACCUUUAAAUUUUUUCUGUCAAAACAUUAAAAACUUUGUCAGUUAUAGAUUCAUUUAAAAAAACAAAACAAAACAAAACCCAUUGCAUCGAGAAGAUCCUGACUCAAGAAGACCCCAUGUAUUACAAAGUAGUACUGUUCAAGGCAGUUUACCAAAGAAGACAUUCAGGCUGCUAACAGAUACAUGAGGAAACGCUCACGAUCGUUAGCUAUUAGAGAAAUGCAAACCAGAACUACAAUGAGAUUCCAUCUCACUCCGACAAGGCUGACAUUAAUCCAAAAAACAUAAAAUAAUAAAUGUUGGAGAGGUUGUGGAGAGACUGGAACACUUAUACACUGCUGGUGGGAAUGUAAAAUGGUACAACCACUUUGGAAAUCGAUUUGGGGCUUCCUUAAAAAGCUAGAAAUAGAUCUACCAUAGGACCCAGCAAUUCUACUCCUUGGAAUAUAUCCUAAAGAAAUAAGAGCCUUCACACAAACAGAUAUAUGCACACCCAUGUUCAUUGCAGUGCUGUUUACAAUAGCAAAAAGAUGGAAGCAACCAAGGUGCCCAUCAAUGGAUGAAUGGAUAAACAAAUUAUGGUAUAUUCACACAAGGGAAUACUACACAACGAUUAAGACCAAAGAUGAAUCUGUGAAACAUUUCAUAACAUGGAGGAAUCUGGAAGGCAUUAUGCUGAGUGAAAUUAGUCAACUGCAAAAGGACAAAUAUUGUAUGAGACCAUUAUUAUAGAUAAACUUCAAACACAGAAGAAAAUAUUAUUUGAUGGGUAAGAGGGUGGGGAGGGAGGGAGAAGGAUAUUCACUAAUUAGAUAGUAGACAAAAGUUUUUUUAGGUGAAGGGAAGGGCAACACGUAACACAGGGAUAGUCAGUACAACUGGACUAAACCAAAAGCAAAGAAGUUUCCUGAACACAACCAAACGCUUGGGAGGCCAAAGUAGCAGGAAUGGGGGUCUGGGGACCAUGAUUUCACUGGACAUGUAGGUCAAUUGGCAUAACAAAAUAUAUUAAGAAAACGUUCUGCAUCCCACUCUGGUGAGAGGUGUCUGGGGUCUUAAACGUUAGCAAGUGGCCAUCUGAGAUGCAUCAACUGGUCUCAACUCACCUGGAGCAAAGGAGAAUGAAGAACACCAGAGACACAAGGAAAAUAUGAGCCCAAGAGACAGAAAGGGCCACAUAAACCAAAGACUCCAUCAGCCUGAGACCAGAAGAACUAGAUGGUGCCUAGCUACCACAGAUCACUGCCCUGACAGGGAACACAACAGAGAAUCCCUGAUGGAGCAGGAGAACAGUGGGAUGCAGAUCUCAAAUUCUCAUAAAAAGACCUGGCUUAAUGGUCUGAGACCAAAGGGACCCUCAUGGUCAUGGUCCCCAGACCCUUUGAUAGCCCAAGAUUCGAACCAUUCCCAAAACCAACUCUACAGAUAGGGACUGGCCUGAACUAUAAGAUAGACAAUGAUGCAGGUGAGGAGUGAACUUCGUGGCUGAAGUAGACACAUGAGACUAUGUGGGUGACUCCUGUCUGGUGGUGAGAUGAGAAGAGGAGGACAGGAGCUGGUUGAAUGGACGUGGGGAACACAGGGUGGAGAGGAGGAAUGUGCUGUCUCAUUAAGAGGAGAGCAGCUAGGAGUACACACAGCAAGUUUGUCCCUCAGGAGGAGGCAGUGGGGAACCAAUCACAGCAACCAGCACCUGGCUAUGGAUGCUUGGACAUUAAAAGGUCAACAACUGAGUGUAGUCUGAGAGUCCCUGGACACCACCUUUGUGCUUGAGUAGAGCCCAUUCCAAAGAGCACAGAGUCCCGGGCCUUUCCAGGGCAGACAGAGCAGACUCCUGAGGCCACCAUGAUGUCCAUCCCUAACUCCCCGCCCCAUCCACCUCUGCUGCCUCUGUUGCUGGGACUCAUAGGUAAGUGCGGGCCUCAGGCUGUGUGUGUGGGGAGCCCCCUGCCCCUUUAGUGUGUUCUUCUCACCUGUUGUCCUAGGCUUAUUACUGGAAAUCUAACCCCUUUCCAGAAAGGCAGAAUUAAGGGACUCAGACUGGGAUGUCUCCCACAUUGCAAAAUCUUUCAUGGCUAUGUCUGUUCCAUGUUCCCUUAUUCAAUUAUGGACACAUCCCCUUGGUUACAGCGUUGAGCACAGCACACAGCGUAUAUUACAGCUCCUGUCCCCCAGUCCCUGACCCCAGCUAUCACAUUAUAUCAGAGCUUCCUGGGAACAGAAGAUACGUCUUUUAAAUUAAUUGUCUUUGUUGUUGUUAGUUCCUUUCUAGUUGAUUCUGACUCAUGGCAAAUGACUCCAUGUGUGCAGAGUAGAGCUCCUCCAUAGGGUUUUCAAGGCAGCGACCAUUCAGAUGCAUAUCACCAGGCACCUCUGAGUGGGUUUGAACCAUGAACUUUUGGCUAGUAGUUGAGUGCUUAACUGUAUGUACCACCCAAAUGCUACUUGUACAAUGUAGAAAAAUGUUUGAAAAUGUGAAAUUACACACCAAGGAAAUAAUCCACAACGCCUUCACCCAUAAAUAUUCUAUGUUAAAAUGUUGCAGAGGCUUGAGUGCUCACAGAUCACUUUGCCAGAGGGGGUCAGUAUAGAAGUCUGUCCAGGUCAAUGACAGGGCUAAGCCCCAUAGGCUCCCCUAUAGGCUACUUACUGCGUCUUCCCAGUUCUGCCUCUGCUUACUACAAAAGCUGAAUAAGCCUGUGUUUUCUCUUCCCCAAGUCCAUUGGUCUGCGUUUGGCAGAGGUGUUGAGUUCCAGUUGCCACAGUGCACAACUUCAGGGAUUCAGACCAGAUGAAAUAGGAAGCAAGAACAUUAUCUAAGUAUGAGGAAGGAGGAUGUUUGAGGAAGAGUAAAAAAUAUUAGACAUCCAGUGCGACUGGAGAAUUUUACAAAAAAAUUAAAGAAUAUCAAUUUGACCCAGUCUCUUCCAGAAAAUAGAAAAGGAGAAAACACUUCUAAACUCAUGAGGUCAGUAUUAUCUUGAGACAAAAAUCAGACAAAGAAUCCAAAAGAGAACAGAAAACUACAGACCAAUAUAUCUCAUGAACUUAGAUGCAAAAAUCCUUAAUAAAAUAUUGGCAAAUCAAAUCAAGCAGUAUAAAAAGAAUUCUAUACCAUGACCAAGCGGAAUUUAACCCAGGCAUGCAAGGGUAUUUCAACAUGUGAAAAUCAGUCAUUGUAAUCUUCCAAAUCAACAGGCUAAAUUAAUAUAUAUAUAUGAUCACAUCAAUUAAAGCAGAUAAAGAAUUUUACAAAAUUCAUCACCCAUUCAUGAUUAAAAAAACUCUCAACAAACUAGGAAUAGAGGAGAACUUCCUCAAUUUGAAAAAGAGCAUCUACGAAAAUCCUACAGCUAACAUCAUACUUAAUGGUGAAAGACUCAAUGCUUUCCCCCUAAGACUGGGAACAAGACAAAGAAGUCCAUUCUCAGGACUCUUAUUCAAUAUAGUGCUGGAAGUCCCAGCCACUGCAAUGACGCAAGAAAAAAGAAAUAAAACUGAUAUAGAUUUAAAAACCAAACCUGUUGCCUUUGAGUCAAUUCCAACUCAUAGUGACUCUAUGGCAAACCUAUAGGACAGAGUAGAACUGCCCCAUAGCAUUUCCAAGGAGCAACUGGUAGAUUAUAACUGCUGACCUUUUGGUUAGCGGUCGAACUGUUAACCGCUGCAUCAUUUCUCCCAUAUAGAUUAGAAAGGAAGAAAUAAAACUGUCUCUAUUUGCAGAUAACAUAAUUGUCUACACUGAAAAUUUCAAGGAAUCUAUUAAAAAGUCUCUAGAGCCAAUAAGUGAGAUAAGCAAGGUGGCACAGUACAAGAUGAACAUACAAAUAUCAAAUGCAUUUCUAUAUAUUAAAAACAAACAUGUGAAAAACAAUACUAUUUACAACUGCUCCAAAGAAAAUGAAAUAGUUAGGAACUAACUUAAUCCUAAAAAAUGUAUAGGAUUUGAGUGGUGAAAAUUACAAAAUGCUGAUGAAACAAAAGAAGAUUUAAAUAAAUGGAAAGAUAUAGUGUGUUUUUAACAUACUAAAGAUGUUCAUUUUCCCCAAAUUGAUCUAUAUGUUUUAUGCAGUUCCUAUCAAAAUACAAGCAAUAAGACAAUGUGGUGUUCACAGUGGGAUAGAAACAUAGAUCAAUGGUACAGAAUAGAGAACCCACAAGUAGAGUCACACAAAUAUGCCAACUGCUUCAUUACAAAUGUGCAAAACCAAUUCAAUGGAAGAAGAUUAGAGAUUUCAACAAAUGAUUCUGGCAUGAUUGGACAACCAUAUGCAAAAAAAUGAGCUUCAGUCUAAAUUGCAGUUUAUGUAUAUAACAGUCCAUAAAGAAAAAAGCUGAUAAACUGGUCUUCAUCAAAAUUAACAACUUUAGUUCUGCAAAAGACCUUGUUAAUCAGAUAAAAAUACAAGUUAUGGACUGGAGAAAAAAAUUGCAGACCAAUUAUCCAACAAAUGAUUUGUAUCUCAAAAAUAUAAAGAGCUCUCAAAACUUAAGAGUAAAAAAAAAGAAAGAAAAGAAAUCCAAUUAGAAAAUGGACAAAAAGCAUGAAAAAGGUAUUUCAUCGUAUAAGAAAUACAGAUAGGAUUUAAAUACAUGAACAGAUAUUCAACAUCACUAGCCCUUAGGGAAAUGCAAAUUAACCACGGUGAGAUAUCACUACACACCCACUGGAAUGGCUAAAAUAAACAUGGUAACACCAAAUACAAGACUUUUGAGAAACUGCAUCACGCAGACAUUGCUGAUGAGAAUGUAAAAUGAUAAAGCCACUCUGGAAAACAAGUUAGCAGCUCCUUAAAAAUUAAACACACGCAGCUACUAUAUGACACAGCUAUUAUACUCCUGGGCAUUUAUCCCAGAGAAAUGAAAACUUAUGUUCACAUAAAAACCUGUACACAAACAUUUAUAGUGUCUUUACUCAUAACAGCCAGAAGCUGGAAACAACCCAGACGUCUUUCAACAGAUGACUAGAUAAUCUAUGGUACCUCCAUAUUAUGAAGGCAACGGGUUUUUUUUUUUUUUCUAUAUUACGUAAUACUACUCAGCAAUAAAAAACAACAAACUAUUAAGACAUGGAACAACUUGGAUGGAUCUUUGUGGAAUUAUUAAGAGUGAAGAAAUCCAAUCACUAAAGGUUACAUACUUAAUAUUUCCUUUCUAUAACAUUCUUGAAAUGACAAAAUUACAGAAAUGGAGGACAGGUUCCUUGGUGGCACGAAUGGCUAAGUACUCGACUACUAGCCUAAAGGUUUGUAGUUUGAACCCUCCCAGAGGCACCUCAGAAGACACGUCCAGUGAUCUGCUUCCAAAAUUUCACAGCCUUGAAAACCCUAUGGAGCAGUUCUCCUCUGCAUAUGUGGGGUCACCAUGAGUCAAAGCUAACAACGACAAAAGGACAGAGGAGGGGGGAAGUGGGUGUGGUUAUAAAAGGGCAACCUGAAGGUUCUUGUGUCUAUAGACUGUUCUAUAUUUUGAUCGUAGUACACUUGUGAUGAAAUUGCACAGAAUGAAAUACACACACCCACAUACAAUCACAAAUGAGUGCAAAUAAAACUGAGUAAAUCUGAAGAGGACCAGUGAAUUAUAUUCUGAUUGUGAUAUUGUACUGUAGUUUGGCAAGAUGUUACUUUUGAAGAAACUUGAGUACAAGUUCACAAGAUCUAUUAUUUCUUACAACUGCAUUUGUAUCUACAAUAUCACAAAAUAAGUUUUAAAAACUGCAGUUAGUUUAGUAUAGACUCUCAAAGCAGUUCUUUAUAAAUCAUAUAUGCAAGUUGUCUUAGGCUGGGUUCUCUAGAGAAGCAAAAUCAGUGAAGCAUAUAAAUAUCUACAUAAAGAGAUUUGUAUCAGGGAAAUGGCUCACACAGUUGUAGAAGCUGGAACGUCCCAAAUCCGUAGGUCAAGCUGGAGGCUUCUCUUGAUUCAUGUAGCCCAAGGGGCUGGGGAACCCAAGAUUGGUAGGUCAGACAGCAGGGCUCUUGCUCACAAACUGUGAAGACCAAUGAAUCCCAAAAUGGGCAAGCAAGACCGCAGGUAAGCUGCUAGCUCAAGUCUCAAGAUCCGGAGGUCAGAUGAACAGGAGCCAGCUGCAGGAUUCAGAGCAAGCGAAAGCCUGUGAACCUUGCCAGAGAGUCUACUUAUAUUUGAUGCAGGACACAUCCCCAAAGAAACUUCCUUUCAACUGAUUGGCUACUCACAGAAGAUCCCAUCAAGGAGGUGACCACAUUAUAUCAGAUCUCAUCAUGGAAGUGAUCAUCUCAUCAUCAAAAGACUGCCAAACUACAUCAUAACUGCCAAACCACUGAGAAUCAUGGCCCAGCCAAGUUGACACACAAUGUUAACAAUUUCAGUGCACCCCUUGACAACUUGAUACCUGUACACAUCUCCUUAAACCAUACAUAAUCUCUGAAUAAAGACAAUUAUAAAGUCAUACUUGAGCCUAACAUGAUAAAACACACAUACAGCUGAAACACACUAACCCUGUUUACAUUUUAUAUUUUAUAAGUGAAGAAAACAAAAAUAUUUGAUACACACACACAAGGCAGAAAUACUCAUAGCAAUUACAGUCCUCAUUUCUGCAACUGGUCAUGUGGUUGUAACUCAUAUUUAGAACUACCAUCUCCAACCACCCAUUCCAUAUUCUCUUUGCCCUCAGCAAGCACCUCAGCUGAUUGUGGUUCUUUGCCUGGUGGGAUGACCCAAACUUUCAUUCCUGAAGGGUCAGGGCCAUUAGUAGUAAUGUCAGAAUUGGGUUGCUGUAGUUUUCCAUUGACUUUAAUCACAGGGCAUGGUAGUACUAAGAGACAUCCUAUAGCAUCUGCAUUCCAGACAUACUCUUCUUUACCUCCUUUAUGUAAUAUCAAUCUGAUUUCCUACUGGUAAUCAGGAUCAAUCACAUCAGCCAAUAUGGUAAUUCCUUCUACGCCUGUUGAACCAGGCAUAAGGAUCCAAAGUGGCCAGGUGGCGUUCUUAACUUCCAAUUCAAUAGAAUCACAGGUGUGUCUCCAGAUGGGAGCGUUCCUCCCUUUGGAACUAAGACCUCUAGACCCACAGAGCAUAGGGUCACCAGCACAGGAAGCAAAAAUUUUGUAAGUGGAUCACUAGGGGUAAUAGUGGUAGUGCCACUCCCAUUUCCACCCCUUAAUUCCUGGACCCAUGAAUCCCAGCUAUGGGAGAAACAGCACCAUAUAUUGGACACUGGUUUAGAGAAUAUACAGCCUCCUCAAGAACAUUGCCCCAACCCUGCAAGGUAUUGCCACCUACCUGUGCCAUAAUUGUGUCUUUAGAAGUCCAUUCCAUCAUUCUAUCAAGCCAGUUGCUUCAGGAUGAUGGGGAACAUGGUAAGACCAGUGAAUUUCACAAGCAUGGGCCCACCACCGCAUUUUAUUUGCUGUGAAGUGAGUCCCUAGUUCCAAGGCAAUGCUGUGUGGGAUACCAUGACAGUGGAUAAGGCAUUCUGUAAGUUCACAGAUGGUAGUUUGGGCAAAAGUAUUGUGUGCAGGGAAGGCAAAUCCAUAUCCAGAGUGUCUAUUCCAGUAAGAACAACUCUGCCCUUUUCAUGAUGGAAAUGGUCCAAUAUAAUCAACUUGCCACCAGGUUGCUGGCUGAUCACCUUGAGAGAUGGUGCCAUAUAGGGGACUCAGAGUUGGUCUCUGCUGCUGGCAGAUGGGGCACUCAGCAGUGGCUGUGGCCAAGUAAGCCUUGGUGAAUGGAAGUCCAUGCUGUUGAGCCCAUGCAUAACCUCUAUCCCUGUGACCAUGGCCACUUUGUUCAUGAGCCUAUUGAGCAAUGACAGGAGUGGCUGGGGAAAGAGGAUGACUGCUUUCCACAGAACACAUCAUCUUAUCCACUUGAUUGUUAAAAUUCUCCUCUCUCGAGGUCAUCCUUUGGUGAGCAUUCACAUGGGACACAAAUAUCUUCACUUCUUUGACCCAUUCAGAGAGGUCUAUCCAUAUAUCUCUUCCCCAUACCUCCAUGUCUCUAAUUUUCCAAUCAUGUUCCUUCCAAGUUUGGGAUUGCAUUGGUCAUGGCCCAUGAAUCAGUAUACAAUUGUACAUCUGGCCUUAUCUUCUUCCAAGCAAAGUGAACAACCAGGUGCACUGCUCAAAGUUCUGCCCACUGGGAGGGUUUCCCUUCACCACUGUCCUUCAGGGAGGUCCCAAAAAGGGACCACAGUGCUGCUGCUGUCCCCUUUUGAGUGGUGCCUGCAUACUGCACAGAGCCAUCUGUAAACAUAUGAAUGGAUAAACAAAUUAUGGUAUAUUUACAUAAUGGAAUACUAUGCAAUGAAGAACAAUGAUCAAUCUGUGAAACAUUUCAUAACAUGGAAGAAUCUGGAAGGCAUUAUGCUGAGUGAAGCUAGUCAGUUGCAAAAGGACAAAUAUUGUAUGAGACCCUUUCUGUCUCUUGGGCUAAUAUUUUCUUCGCGUCUUUGGUGUUCUUCGUUCUCCAUUGUUCCAGAUGGGUUGAGACCAACUAAUGCAUCUUAGGUGGCUGCUUGCUAGCAUUUAACACUUCAAGCACCAUUGGAUCAGCUGGAUCAUAUGACUCAAGUGGCAGAGUGGCUUACACAGGAGCCUGAACCUGCUGCAGAGCCUUCAUUUGUUCUGGGUCCCAUUCAUAACUAGCAUCUUUUCAAGUCACUUGAUAAAUAGGCCAGAGUAGCACACCCAAAUGAGGAAUAUGUUGCCUCCAAAAUCCAAAGAGGCCCACUAGGCAUUGUGUCUUCUUUCUAGUUGUGAGAGGGCCCAGGUGCAAUAAUCUAUCCUUCUAUAUCCUCCCACAACUCUUCUGGUCUUCAGUCAUUAGUGUUCAGUGCACCGAAUCUAUUCUUGAGAUGGUCUCUAAAUUCAAGUGGAAUAUAUUCAAGGUCAUAUUUUGGCUCUCGUGGACAUGCUCUAAUGUUCUUCAGCUUCAGCUUGAACUUGCACAUGAGCAAUUGAUGGUCUGUUCUGCAGUCAGACCCUGGCCUUGUUCUGACCGAUGAUAUUGAGCUUCUCCAUCAUCUCUUUCCACAGAUGUAGUCAAUCUGAUUCCAGUGUAUUCCAUAAGGUGAGGUCCAUGUGUAUAGUUGCUCUUAAUGUUGCUGAAAAAGAUAUUUGCAAUGAAUAAGUCCUUAAAAAAAAAGUCUUCCAAAAUUCCUUCACACAAUCUCCAGCACCAUUUCUAUAACCAAGGCCAUAUUUUCUGACUACCAUUCCCCCUUCUUUGUUUCCAACUUUCACACUCCAAUCACCAGUAAUUAUCAAUGGAUCUUGAUUCCAUGUUUGAUGAAUUUCAGACUGCAAAAGUGGUAAAAAUCUUCAAUCUUCUUCAUCUUUCCCAUUAGUAGUUGAUGCAUAAAUCUGAAUAAUAGUCAUUGUCAUGGAUUGAAUUGUGCCCCCAAAAAAUAUCUGUCAACUUGGUUAGGUCAUGAUUCCCAGUAUUGUAUGAUUGUCUACCAUUAGAUCAUCUGAUGUGAUUUCCCUAUUUGUUGUAAAUCCUAUCAUUAUGAUGUAAUGAGAUGGAGUAGUGGCAGUUAUAUUGAUGAGAUCUACAAGAUUAGACAGUGUCUUAAGCCAAUCUCUUUUGAGAUAUAAAAGAGAGAAGCAAGCAGAAAAAUAUGGGGACCUCAUACCACAAAGAAAGCAUCCCCGGGAGCAGAGCACAUCCUUUGGACCUGAGGUUCCUGUGCUGAGAUGCUCCCAGACCAAGGGAUGGCAAAGACCUUCCUCCAGAACUGACAGAGAGAGAAAGCCUUCCCCUGGAGCCGGUGCCCUGAAUUCUGACGUCUAGCCUACUGGACUAUGAAAGAAUAAACCUUUUGUUAAAGCCAUCCACUUGUGGUAUUUCUGUUAUAGCAGCACUAGAUAACCAAGACACCCAGGAUUUCUGAUUCAAAAUGGCCAAUACCAGCCCAUUUCAGCUCACUAACGCCUAGGAUAUCGAUCUUUAUGAGUUUCAUUUCAUUUUUAAAAAAAUUGUGCUUUAAGUGAAAGUUUACAAAUCAAGUCAGUCUCUCACACAAGAACUUAUACACACCUUGCUAUGUAACCCGAGCUGCUCUCCUCCUAAUGUGACAGCAUACUCCUCUCUACCCUGUAAUCCCUGUGUCCGUUCAACCAGUUCCUGUCCCUCUCUGCCUUCUCAUCUCACCUCCAGACAGGAGAUGCCCACAUAGUCUCAUGUGUCUACUUGAACUAAGAAGCUCACUCCUGACCAGUAUCAUUUUCUGUCUUAUAGUCCAGUCCAAUCCCUGACUGAAGAGUUGGCAUCAGGAAUAGUUCCAGUCUUGGUGUAACAGAGGAUCCGGGGGCCAUGACCAUGAGGCUUGCAUCCCACUGUUCUCCCACUCCAUCACUCUCUGUUGUGUUCCCUGUCAAGGCAGUGAUCAGUGGUAGCUAGGCUCCAUCUAGUUCUUCUAGUCUCAGGCUGAUGAAGCCUCUGGUUUAUGUGGCCCUUUCUGUCUCUUGGGCUAAUAUUUUCUUCAUGUCUUUGGUGUUCUUCAUUCUCCAUUGUUCCAGGUGGGUUGAGACCAACUAAUGCAUCUUAGGUGGCUGCUUGCUAGCAUUUAAGACCCCAGAUGCCACACACCAAAGGGAGAUGCACAAAGUUUUCUUAAUACAUUUUGUUAUGCCAGUUGACCUAGAUGUCCUCUGAAACAAUGGUCCCCAGGUUCCGGUCCCUGCUACUCUGGCCUUUGAAGCAUCUGGUUGUAUUCAGAAAACUUCUUUGCUUUUGUCAUAGUCCAGGUGUGCUGACCUCCACCUGUAUUGUGUUGUCUUUUCCUUCACCUAAAAUAGAUCUUAACUACUGUCUAAUUAGUGAAUACCCGUCUCCCUCCCUCCCCAUCCUUAUAGCCAUCAAAGAGUAUUUUCUUCUGUGUUUAAACUUUUUCUUGAGUUCUUAUAAUAUUGAUCUCAUACAAUAUUUGUCCUUUUGCAACUGACUAGCUUCACUCAGCAUAAUGCCUUCCAGAUUCUUCCAUGUUAUGAAAUGUUUCACAGAUUCAUCGUUGUUCUUCAUUGCAUAGUAUUCCAUUAUGCAAAUAUACCAUAAUUUGUUUAUCCAUUCAUCCAUUGAUGGGCAUCUUGGUGGCUUCCAUCUUUUUGCUAUUGUAAACAGUGCUGCACUGAACAUGGGCGAGCAUAUACCUGUUCGUGUGAGGGCACUUAUUUCUCUAGGAUAUAUUCCAAGGAGUGGGAUUGCUGUAUCCUACGGUAGUUCUAUUUCUAGCUUUUUAAGGAAGCACCAAAUCAAUUACCAAAGUCAUUGUACCAUUUUACACCCCCACCAGCAGUAAGCGUUCCAGUCUCUCCACAACCUCCCCAACAUUUAUUAUUUUAUGUUUUUUUGGAUUAAUGCCAGACUUGUUGGGGUGAAAUGGUAUCUCAUUGUAAUUUUGAUUUGCAGUUCUCUAACGGAUAAUGAUCGCGAGCAUUUCCUCGUGUAUCUGUUAGCUACUGAAUGUCUUCUUAGUGAAGGGCCUGUUCAUAUUCUUUGCCCAUUUUCUAAUUGGGUUGUCUUUUUGUUGUUGAGUUGUUGCAGUAUCAUGUAGAUUUUAGAGAUCAACACUGAUUGGAUUCAUUGUAGCCAAAAACUUUUUCCCAGUCUGUAGGUAAUCUUUUUACUCUUUUGGUGAAGUCUUUGGAUGAGCAUAAGUGUUUGAUUUUUAGGAGCUCCCAGUUAUCUAGUUUCUCUUCUGGUGUUUGUGUAUUGUUAGUAAUUUUUUAUAUACUUUUUAGGCAAUGUAUUAGGGCUCUUAGCAUUGUCCCUAUUUUUUCUUCCAUGAUCUUUAUCAUUUUAGAUUUUAUUUUUAGGUCUUUGAUCCAUUUUUAGAUAGUUUUUGUGCAUGGUGUGAGGUAUGGGUCUUGUUUCAUUUUUUUGCAGAUGGAUAGCUGGUUAUGCCAGCAUUGUUUGUUAAAGACACUGUCUUUUGCCCAUUCAACAGACUUUGGGUCUUCAUCAAAUAUCAGCUGCUCAUAUGUGGAUGAAUUUACAUCUGGAUUCUCAAUUCUGUUCCACUGGUCAAUGCACCUGUGGUGGUACCAGUACCAGGCUGUUUUCACUACCGUGGCGGUAUAAUAGGUUCUAAAAUCAGGUAGUGUGAGGCCUCCCACUUUGUUCUUUUUCAGUAAUGCUUUACUUAUCUGGGGCCUCUUUCCCUUCCAUAUGAAGUUGGUGAUUUCUUUCUUCAUUUCAUUAAAAAAAAUGUCAUAGGAAUUUGGAUCGGGAUUGCACCUAUAGAUCACUUUGGGUAGAAUAGACAUUUUUACGAUGUUGACUCUUCCUAUCCAUGAGCAAGGUAUGUUUUUCCACUUCUGUAGGUCUUUUUUGGUUUCUUGCAGUAAUGUCUUAUAAGUUUUCUUUGUAUAGGUCUUUUAUGUCUCUGGUUAGGUUUACUCCUAAGUAUUUUAUCUUCUUGGAGGCUACUGUAAAUGGUAUUGAUUUGGUGAUUUCCUCCUCAAUGUUCUUUUUGUUGAUGUAGAGGAAUCCAACUGAUUUUUGUAUGUUAAUCUUGUAUCCUGAUACUCUGCUGAACUCUUCUAUUAGUCUUGGUAGUUUUCUUGAGGAUUCUUUAGGGUUCUCCAUGUAUAAGAUCAUGUCAUCUGCGAAUAGAGAUACUUUUACUUCUUUCUUACCAAUUUGGAUGCCCUUUCUUUUUCUAGCCUAAUUGCUCUGGCUAGGACCUCCAGCGCAAUGUUGAAUAAGAGUGGUGAUAAAGGGCAUCUUUGUCUGGUUCCCAUUCCCAAGGGGAAUGAUUUCAGACUCUCUCCCUUUAGGAUGAUGUUGGCUGUUAGCUUUGUGUAAAUGCCCAUUAUUACGUUGAGGAAUUUCCCUUCUAUUCCUAUUUUGCUGAGAGUUUUUAUCAUGAAUUGGUGUUGGACUUCAUCAAAUGCCUUUUCUCCAUCAAUUGAUAAGAUCAUGUGGUUCUUAUCUUUUGCUUUAUUUAUAUGAUGGGUUACAUUGAUUGUUUUUCUAAUGCUAAAUCAUCCCUGCAUAUCUGGAAUGAAUCCCACUUGGUCACAGUGAAUUAUUUUUUUGAUAUAUUGUUGAAUUCUAUUGGCUAGAGUUUUGUAGAGGAUUUCUGCAUCUAAGUUCAUGAGGGAUAUAGGUCUGUAAUCUUGCUUUUUGUUGUUGUUGUUGUUUGUUUUUUUGUGGUCUCUUUACCUGAUUUGGGGGAUAUGCUGGCUUCAUAGAACGAGUUUGGGAGUGUUCUGUCCUUUUCUAUGCUCUGAAAUACUUUUCAUAGUAGCGGUGUUAACUCUUCUCUGAAAGUUUGGUAGAAUUCUCCAGUGAAGCCACCAGGGUCAGGGCUUUUCUUGGAAGUUUUUUAAAUUACCUUUCCAUCUCUUCUUUUGUUAUAGGUUUAUUUAGUUGUUCUACCUCUGUGUUAGUUUAGGUAGGUAGUGUGUUUCUAGAAAUUUGUCCAUUUCCUCUAAGUUUUCAAAUUUGUUAGAGUAUAAUUUUUCAUAAUAAUCUUAUAUGAUUCUUUUAAUUUCAGUUGUGUCUGUUGUGAUAUUGCCCGUCUCAUUUCUUAUUUGGGUUAUUUGCUUCGUCUCCUGCUUUUGUCAGUUUUGCCAAUGGUUUAUCAAUUUGGUUGAUCUUUUCAAAUGACCAGUUUUUGGUCUUGUUAACUCUUUCAAUUGUUUUUCUGUUCUCUAUUUCAUUUAAUUCUGCUCUAAUUUUUAUUUGCUUUCUUCUGGUGCCCAAGGGCUUCUUUUGUUGCUCUCUAUUUGCUCCAGGUGUAGGGAUAAUUCUUUGAUUUGGGCCCUUUCUUCUUUUGGGAUGUGUGCAUUUAAUGCCAUAAAUUGACUUCUGAGCACUCCUUUAGCUGUGUCCCAGUUCUGAUAGGAAGUGUUUUCAUUCUCAUUGGAUUCUAUGAAUGUCUUUAUUCCAUCCUUAAUUUCUUCUAUAACCCAGUAGUUUUUGUUCAGUUUCCAUGUGUUUGAUUUCUUUUCCCUGCUGUUUGUUAUUGAUUUCUACUUUUAUGGCUUUAUGGCCAGAAAAAAAUGCAUUGUAAUAUUUUGAUGUUUUGGAUUCUGUUAAGGCUUGCUUUAUGACUAUGUGGUCUAUUCUGGAGAAUGUUCCAUGUGCCCUGGAAAAGAAAGUAUGCUUGGCUGCUGCUGGGUGGAAUGUUCUGUAUGUCUAUGAGCUCAAGUUGGUUGAUUGUGGCAUUUAGAUCUUCCGUGUCCUUACUGAGCUUCUUUCUGGCUGUUCCAUCUUUCACCAAAAGUGGUGCGUUGAACUCUCCUACUAUUAUUGUGGAGCUGUCUAUCUCUCUUUUCAAUGCUGUUAGAGUUUGUUUUAUGUAUCUUAAAGCCCUGUCGUUGGGUGCAUAAAUAUUUAUUAUGGUUAUAUCCUCCCGGUGUAUGGACUUUUUAAUCAUUAUUUCAUGUCCUUCUUUAUCCUUUGUCGUGGAUUUUACUUUAAAGUCUAUUUUGUCAGAAAUUAGUAUUACCGCUCCUGCUCUUUUUUGAUUGUUGUUUGCUUGAUACAUUUUUUCCAUCCUUUGAGUUUUAGUUUGUUUGUGUCUUUAAGUCUAAGGUGUGUCUCUUGUAGGCAGCAUACAGACGGACCAUGUUUUUUAAUCUAUUCCACUACUCUCUGUCUCUUUUGGUGCAUUUAGUCCAUUUACAUUCAGCAUUAUUAGGGAUAGGUAUUUUUUUUUUAUGAGUUUAGUGCUGUCAGUUUGAUGUCUUUUUUGUGUGUUGUUGACAGUUUCUUUUUUCCACUUAAUUUUCUGUGCUGAGCAGUUUUUCUUUAUAAAUUGUCUUUUCCUCUUUCAUUGUUGUUGAUAUUGUAUUUGCUGAGUCUCUAUGUUUUUCUUGUAUUUUAUUUUGAUGUGUAGGAUUGUUAGUAUCCUUUGUGGUUACUUUAAUAUUUACCCCUAUUUUUCUAAGUUUAAGCCAAACUUUUGUCUCUUUAUAUCACCUUGACUUCCUCUCCAUAUGAAAGAUCUAUGACUACAUUUUUUAAAGGCCCUCUUUAUUGAUUUAAUGUUGUCAUCUUUUACAUAAUAACAUCACUGUUUCCCUGUUUUGAGCAUUUCUUAUCUUGAUUUAUUUUUCUGAUUUCCCUGUCUUGUUUGAUAUCUGGUUGCUCUGUCCUGUGUUCUAGCCUUGGGUUGUUAUCUGAUGUUAUUGGUUUUCUAACCAGAGGACUCCCUUUAGUAUUUCUUAUAGUUUUGUUUUGGUUUUUGCAAAUUCCCUAAACUUCUGUUUAUCUCGAAAUGUCCUAAUUUCGCCUUCAUAUUUGAGAGACAGUUUUGCUGGCUAUAUGAUUCUUGGCUGGCAAUUGUUUUCCUUCAAGGUUUUAUGUAUGUCAUCCCAUCGCCUUCUUGCCUACAUGGUUUCUGCUGAGUAGUCCGAGCUUACUCUAAUUGACUCUCCUUUGUAGGUGACUUUUCAUUUAUCCCUAGCCGCUCUUAAAAUUCUCUCUUUAUCUUUGGUUUUGGCAAGUUUGAUUAUUAUAUCUCUUGGUGACUUUCUUUUGGGAUCUACCUUGUAUGGGGUUUGAUGAGCAUCCUGGAUAGGUAUCUUCUUGUCUUUCACAAUAUCAGGGAAGUUUUCUGCCAACAAAUCUUGAACGAUUCCUCCUGUAUUUUCUGUUCUCCUUCCCCAUUCUGGUACUCUGAUCACCUGUAGUUUAUUUCUCUUGAUUGAGUCUCACAUGAUUCUUAUGGUGUCUUCAUUUUUUAAAAUUCUUUUAUCUGAUUUUUCUUCAACUGUAUUGGUACCUCAUGUUUUAUCUUCAAUCUCAUUAAUUCUGACUUCCAUUUCCUCAAUUCUGCUCCUCUGAUUUUCUAUUGAGUUGUCUGAUUCUGAAAUUUUAUUGUUAAUCUUCUGAAUUUAUGUUUUCUCUCUAUGUUUUCUUUGAGCCUAUUAAAUUUGUCAUUAUGCUCUUGAAUAACCUUCUUAAUUUCCUCCACUCAUUUAUCUGUGUGCUACUUGACUUGUUCAGUGUUUUGCCUGAUCUCCUUCCUGAUCUCUUGAAGAGUUCAGUAUAUUAAUCUUUUGUAUUCUACCCCUGGUAAUUCCAGGAAUAUCUCUUCAUCCAGAAGAUUCCUUGAUUCUUUUGGGGGGGAGCUUGUUGACGUGAUCAUGGUCUGCUGCUUUAUGUGAUUUGAUGUUGACUGUUGUCUCCGAGCCAUCUAUAAGUUAUUGUAUUAAUUUAUUUUAUGUUUCCUUUCUGUGUCCUAGCUUCUUGCUUUGUUUUGUUUUGAUAUGCCCAAAUAGGCUGCUCUAGUGAGCUAGUUUGAUUAUUGGUACCUUUGGAACUCUAACGUCCAGUCACCAGAUGGCUAGAGCUGUUACCAGGUACAUGAUCCCUGGAGUCCAUUCACUUUUCUUGUAUGAAUUCAGCUCAGGUGUCCAGAUAUUCAGUCACCAAGUGUAUGGUGCAGACUGUCACCUACAGUCUUAGAGGAGUAGGGGUGAUUGGUGUAAGCACAGGCAUCUGGGUGCAGCAGGGGGUCACACUCUGAGCAAGGCAGGGGGCUGACAACUGUACCCAAUGUGUCUUGAGGAAAGCAUGUCCCUGUUCCCUGGAGCACAUAGAUGGGUGCGCUCUGCAGCUGAACCACGGCACCCAAUGCGUUUGGUUGUAAGGACUGGGAGGUACCACUUAUCCUUGGAUCCUAUCGCGGGUAGCUAGGUGGUGUGGGUGGAGCUACCAGGCUUCAGGCCCCUGAUGUGGGUAGGUGAGGGCCCUGCUUAAUAGGCACAGUGCUGUCAAAUGUCAAAAACCCGCCUCCCCAUCACACAACUGAAACAACUGAAGUCAGACUUCAGGCACAUACACCAUUGCACUGUGCAAACAAGGGCCUAAGCUCCUAAAAUGAGCGCACACAGGUCCAUGCAGGGGUGAAAGGCAUUCAAAGUGUGUGGACUGCUUAUGUCUGUCCCCAGGCAAUGGUGCCACUUCUGCCCUGAGUUCCUAGCUUAGGGGAACCACCUGAUUAUUUUUCCCCAUUUGUUAAUUUUCUCCAUCUCCAAUGACCGGAGAAUGGCUCAGGAUGCACAGCAGGACCUAUCUUAGGCCCAGUGAAAGCAACCGCUACUGAAGCUGGUUCAGGGAAUGGAGCAGAGGGAGGAGGGAGCAGAUAAAUGGGAAAGAGUUCUUUCAAAAGGGGUGCUUUUUGUUCCAUGAGGUAAAUUAGAUGCAAGUACUUAUCUUUUGUCAAGAGCACUGUUCUUCAGUGAUCCUGGGAAGUGUGAGUAGACUCUAUGCUGUUCGCUCUGUCCCACCGAGGAAACUGCAUCCCAGAUGCUACUGCCAACCUUUCCACAGUCAUGCCAGGGAUCAAGCCUGCAGGGCACCGGUUCCCACCGAGUCAGGUCGGGCAACUCCUUGCUGCUUCUGAACCAUCUCUCCCUCCCCCUGCCACUCAGUCUGAUUUCUUAACUUUUCCUUUGAUGUUCAGGUCUCCUAGUUUGUCAUAUAUAUAAUCAAUUCACUUGUUUUUUUGGGUCUUUGUUGUAAGAGGGACUACCGGAUGCAUCUGACUACUCUGCCAUCUUGGCCCUGCCUCCUCCCAUUUCAUUUUUAACAACUUCCAAUUUUCCAAGAUUCGUACUUCGUACAUUCAUGUUCUGAUUAUUAGUGGAUGUUUGCAGCUGUUUCUUGUCAUUUUGAGUUGUCACCUCACCAAAUGAAGAUCCCAAAAGCUAGAUUCCAUUCAUGUCAUUAACGUCAACUCUACUUUGAGGAGGCAGCUCUUCCCCAGUCAUAUUUGAGUGCCUUCCACCCUAAGGGGCUCAUCUUUCAGCACUAUACCAGACAAUAUUCUGCUGCUACUCAUUAGGUUUUCCCUGGCCAGUUUUUUCAGAAGUAGACUACCAGGUUCAUCUUUCUAGUCUGUCUUAGUCUGGAAGCUCUGCUGAAACCUGUCCACCAUAGGUGUCCCUCCUGGUAUUUAAAAUACUGGUGGCGUAGCUUCCAGCAUCACAGCAACACAAAAGCCACCACAGUAUGACAAACUUACAGUAAUCUUUAGAUUACUUAUAAUACCUAAUAUAAUGUAAAUGCUAUAUAAACAGCUAUUUCAUCACAAUUGAAGACUUGCUCUGGAAGGUAGCCUUUCUCUUGUAUGAGUUUCUUGAGCUCUUCUGAGAAUGCUGAUACUGCCUGAGUACCAGCAGAUGCCAAUUUUCCUGUGAUCUUGAAGUCUUGAGGCUGUACUGCUUUACAGAGCUAGUCAGCCAUUCCCGACUAGCCUGAAGGUCCUUUCUCUUGCUCUCCUCAACCGCCUCAUACUUAGACUUUAAGGGAUUGCUCUGACCACUUAAUUGCUUUUUAGGAGCCAUUUUUUUCACAGAAACAAAGGGUGCACACAACACAAGCAGCGAACAAAUGAGAUGUGAGGUGAACAAUGCUCAAAGGAGUGCUGGAGGGAAACUGAGGAUCUAUGAAAUGGCAGAAGGGACAGUUGAGUACACCUACAUAUCAUUUAAUUCAAAUGGAUUCAGUGUACUGCUCAGUGUGUGGCAAAUUCAGGUUUUGCUUUGGGAACUUCCCUUUUUGUCUCGCCCCCCCCCAGCCCGCCACCACCUCGAAUAUUUCCAAUCCACGAAUACGGAGGGCUGAUUGUAUACAGUGGUAGACUUAAAAAUAUUUAACAAUGACUGUCCAAAAGGAAAAGAAAGAAAAAGCUAGAUCUGUAGCAUUUGCCAAUUUCUGUGGUGUAAGUAUUCCCACCAUGGCCAACAUCAAGCAACUAAGAGUUUAGCAGUCAGAUUGAAAAUUUAACAAUCGGCUUUCAUGAGCUAGUAAAAGCCACUCCAGCACACCACUGAUUUAUAUCCAUCAUCUGUGCACCUCAGCUCCACCACUACUUCCUGGUCCCAACCACCUUCAUCUCUUCCUGGAUCUUUGCUACCCUCCAAUUGGCUUCCCUGUUUCAGCCUUUGUUCCUGAAGCAGCCAGAAUGAUUCUUAGGUAACCUGAGUCAGAUCAUGUCAUUUCUCUGCUUCUUCUCCAACUUAUCUGCCUGGCUCACUCAUUCCCUCUUGUCAAGUCUCUGCUUAAACGUCACUUUGUAUGAUCAUUUAAAGGCACCUUCUGUAAAUCACCCUAUAUAAAAUGUCAACUUCCCCUCUCACCUGGAGUUUCAAUUCCUCUUAACCUGAUUAAUUUUUUGUCAUAGCACUAUUACCAUCUGGCAUACUAAAUAUGAACAGUCUUCACUUUGCAUGGUAGGUGUGGGACUGUAAAAAUGACCAUGCAAAUUGAAACCAUGAAAAGUAAUCUUAAUAAUCAAUGGGAAAAAUAACGAUUGCUGAAUGACCUUUAAACUUUUUGUUGAAACAUUAAAAGCUUUGUUACUGUCAGUUACAUAUGCAUAGAAAACCCAAAACCAACCCCAUUGCAUUGAGUUGAUUCUGACUCAUGGUGACCCCAUGUGCUACAGAGUAGAACUGCUCCAUAGGGUUUUCUUGGCUGUAAUCUUUACAGAAGCAGUUCACCAGGCCUUUCUUCCAUGGAGUCACUGGAUGGGUUUGAACAGCCAACCUUUAGGUUAGCACCCAAUCACAAACAAGAUUAAAAAAAGAGAGAGAGAAGGCUCUUCCACUGGAAACCUCUGUGCUUUAGUUUGCUCAUCUGUAGAUAGGAUCUAAUGAAGGUUCCUAACUCACAGAGUUCUUAUGAUGAUUAAGUGAUUUAACAUAUAUAAACUAUGCAUAUAAAACCCAUUGCCCUCAAGUCAAUUCUAACUCAUAGUGACCCCAUAGGACAGAGUAAAACUGCCCCAUAGUUCCCAAGGCUGUAAUCUUUAUGCAAGCCAACUACAUCUUUCUCCCACAGAGUGGCUGGUAAGUUUGAACCUCUGGCCUUUCAGUUAGUAGCCAAGUGUACACUUAUCUCACCACCACCCAUCUGUCAGUUCAUCAUACUGUAGUGGCUUGUGUGUUACUAAGAUGCUGAAAGCUAUGCCACUGGUAUUUCAAGUACAAUCAAGGUCAUCCAUAGUUUAUAGGUUUCAGUGGAGCUCCCAGGCCAAGACAGACUAAGAAAGGCUUGAUGGUCUACUUACGAAAAUCAGCCAAUGAAAGCCUUAUGUCAAAACAGAACAUUGUUCAAUCCAACGAUUGUGAAGAUGAUGCAGGACUAGGCAGCAUUUCAUUCUGUUGUGCAUAGGGUAGCCAUGAGUCAGAGCUGACUUGGCAGCAACUGCUAACAAUAAACUUAGGCAACUGAGUCAAUCACUGUCUCAGAGGCUCAGUUUUCGCACCAAUAAAAUGGUGUUAAUUAUACCAACCUCCUAGGAUUGUAAAAAGGAUUGUAGCAAAGGUUAAAUUAAAUGACCACCAGGCCUUGAGGGCACAGAGUUGAUCAUUUUCAGCAGGGCCAGAUUAAGGCAAGUGAGGACCCUAAGCACUAAUAAUCCUCUGCUCGCUCAUGCAUUUGAAUUGGAUAUGCGAGUUAUAUAUAUACAAGCAUAUGUCUGUGUGUGUUAGCUAUCUAUUAUGUAACUUUUUAAAAAAUGUGACUAUAUUAGCAAUUGAAUGCAAAAAUGGCAUAAGCCAUUUUAGCAGAGUGAGAUGAACCAGAUUAUAUAAAAAAAAAUAAGCAUACCUUAUUUUACUGUGUUAGCUUUAUUGUGCUUCACAGACAUUGCAUUUUUCACAAAUUGAAGGUUUGUGAAACCUGCAUUCAGCAAGUCUAUUGGAGCCAUUUUUCCAACAGCAUGUGCUCACUUUGUGUCUGUGUCUCACAUUUUGGUAAUUCUCACAAUAUUUCAAAUGUUUUCAUUCAUUAUUAUAUUUGUUAUGGUGAUCUGAGAUCCAUGAUAUUUGAUGUUACUAUUUUUAUUGUUUUGGGGUGCCAGGAACCGCGCCCAUAUAAGAUGGUAAACUUUAUCAACAAAUGUGUGUUCUGAUGCUCCACCAACUGGCCAUUCCCCUGUCUCUCUCCUUCUCCUCAGGCCUUCCUAUGUCUUGAGACAUGACAAUCCUAAAAUUAGACCAGUUAAUAACCUUACAAUGGCCUCUAAGUGUUCAUGUGAAAGAAAGACUUGCAUGUCUCUCACUUUAAAUCAAAAGCUAAAAAUGAUUAAGCUUAGUAAGGAAGGUAUGUCAAAAGCUGAGACAGGCUGAAAGUUAGUCCUCUUGUACCAGUUAGCCAAGCUGUGAAUCCAAAGGAAAAGUUCCUGAAGGAAAUUAAAAGUGUUACUCCAGUAAACACAUGAAUGAUAAGAAAGGGAAACAGCCUUACUGCUGAUAUGGAGAAAGUUUUAGUGGGCGGGAUAGAAGGUCAAACCAGCCACAACAUUCCCUUAAGCCAAAGCCUAAUACAGACCAAGGCCCUAACUCUCUUCAAUUCUGUGAAGGCUGAGAGAGGUAAGGAAGCUGCAGGAGAAAAGUGUGAAGCUAGAAGAGGUGGUUCAUGAGGUUUAAGGAAAGAAGCCAUCUCCGUAACAUAAAAGUGCACAGUGAGACAGCAAGUGCUGAUACAGCAGCUGCAGCAAGUUAUCCAGAACAUCCAGCUGAGAUCGUUGAUGAACGUGCCUACACUAAACAACAGGUUCUCCAUAUAGACAAAUCAAAAACAAACUGCUGCUGUCGAGACGAUUCUGACUCAUAGCAAACUUAUAGGACAGAGCAAAACUGCCCCUUAGGGUUUCCAAGGGAUUCAAACUGGCAACUUUUUGGUUAGCAGCCAAGCUCUUUAACCACCAUGCCACUAGGGCUCCUCAAUGUAGUUAAAACAGUCUCAUAUUGAAAGAAGAUGCUAUCUAGGACUUUCAUAGCUAGAGAGGAGAAGUCAAUGCCUGGCUCCAAAGGACAGGCUGACUCUCUUGUUACGGGCUAACGCCGUUGGUGACUUUAAGAUGAAGACAAUACUCAUUACCAUUCUGAAAACCCUAAGGCCCUUAAGAAUUAUGCAAAAUCUACUCUAUCUGUGCUCUAUAAAUGGAACAACAAAGCCCAGAUGACAGCACAUCUGUUUACACCAUGGUUUACUGAAUAUUUUAAGACCACUGUUGAGACUUACUGCUCAGAAAAAAAAGAUUUCUUUCAAAAUAUUACUGUUCAUUGACAAUGCACCUGGUCAUCCAAGAGCUCUGAUGGAGGUGUCCAAGGAGAUUAAGGCUGCUUUCAUGCCUGCCAACACAACAUCCAUUCUGCAGCCCAUGGAUCAAGGAGUAAUUUUGACUUUUAAGUCUUAUUAUUUAAGAAAUACAUUUCACAAUAAUAAUAAUUUCACUAGGCUAUAGCCACCAUGGAUAAUGAUUCCUCUGAUGGAUCUGAACAAAGUAAACUGAAAACCUUCUGGAAAGGAUUCACCAUUCUAGAUGUCAUUAAGAACAUUCGUGACUCAUGGGAGGAGAUCAAAAUAUCAACAUUAACAGGAUUUUGGAAGUUGAUUUCAACCCUCAUAAAACCAAAACCAAACCCGUUGCCUUCAAGUCAAUUCUGACUCAUAGCGACCCUAUAAGACAGAGUAUAACUGCCCCAUAGAGUUUCCAAGCACUGCCUGGUGGAUUUGAACUGCCAACCUGUUAGUUAGCAGCCGUAGCUCUUAACCACUAUGCUACCAGCAUUUCCCCAACCCUCAUGGAUGGUUUUAGAGGGAUCAAGACUUCAGUGGAGGAAGUAACUGCAGAUGUGGUGGAAAAAACAAGUGAGCUAGAAUUAGAAAUGGAGCCUGAAGAUGUGACUGAAUUGCAGCAAUCUCCUCAUGAUAAAACAUUAAUGGAUAAGGAACUGCUUCUUAUGGAUGAACAAAGAAAGUUGUCUCUUGAGAUGGAACCUACUCCUGGUGAAGAUACUGUGAUAACUGUUGAAAUGACAAGAAAACAUUUAGAAUAUUAUAUAAAUCAGCAGCAGGGCUUGAGAGGAUUGACUCCAAUUUUGAAAGAAGUACUGUGGGUAAAAUGCUAUCAAACAGCCAUCACCUGCGACAGAAAAGUCUUUCAUGAAAGGAAGAAUCAAUUGAUGUGGCAAAAUUCACUGUCGUCUUAUUUUAAGAAAUUGCCACAGCCACUCCAACCUUCAGCAACCACCACCCUGAUCAGUCAGCAACCAUCAACACUGAGGCAAGACCCUCCACCAGAAAAAAGAUUACGACUUGCUGAAGGCUCAAAUGAUGGUUAGCAUUUUUUAGCAAUAAAGUAUUUUUUAAUUAAGGUAUGUACAUUUUCUUUUUAGACAUAAUGCUAUUGCACACUCAAUAGACUACUGUAUAGUGUACACAUAACUUUUAUAUGCACUGGGAAACCCUAAAAUUCAUGUGACUCACUUUAUUGUGAUAUUCACUUUAUUGUGGUGGUCUGGAACUGAACCUGCAAUGUCUCCAAGGUAUGCCUGUAUAAAAUUUUUAGUGGAUUUGAGGUACUAAGAUUUUUACUACAUACUACAUUUGCUACAAAAGAAUAUUCCACAUAUUCUACAAUAAUGAAAAUGAAUCACUGUAAAAUUUCGACAAUAUAAAAUUCUGUUGAUCUCCCACAACAAAAAAUUGACUUUCACUAAUUUUGCUUUAAAUGGCUCAUACUUCAAUUUUGAUGCUUGUUUCAUAAUAAAUGCUAUAAUUUUAAAUGAACAUAUUAAAAGAUGCCACAAAAGAAAAUUUAAUGAUCAGAAUACAAAUAUUACAAAAAAUUACUGUAUUUUAUUUUCACAUAGAUUUUUACAUGUUAUAAUUAAAAACAUUUCUUUCUAUUCUUUGCUCUUAUAAAUUCUUCAAUGAUUUCAUCACAAUUAAGCUUCCGAACAAUAUCUACUUCCAUACAUAACAGGAUAAUGAAUCAAGUCUUUCUUGAAUCACUGUUACAGGCUGAGUGUUUUUUAGUCUCUUUAGGGAUGAAAAUGGGCAGAACACCUGUGCAGUUUGUGAUCAUUAAAGUUAGGAGUAUGCAUAAAGCAGUUUCCACAUUAGGAAAUACGCAUUGUAGUUUAUCUUCUAUUAUGGAAUCAUGCAUGCCUACAUGAGUAAAAUUUGUCUUUUCUGAAUCUGUAAACUUAAUUCUCAUGUAAGAAUGAAAUUGUCACAUUUCUCCAUAAAGGCUUCUAUUUAAGUUAUCAAGAUAAACCUGCACUAAUUUCUUGGAUGCCUUCAUGCAUUCUUCAGUAGGUAUACCGACAUUGUUUAAGAAGGAAAAUCUAUUCGAAAGAGCUUCUUUUUUCAUGUAAGAUUCAAGUGUGUCAAUGAUGGAGCGCUAUGUGCUUAUGAAAAAUUGAUCUCUGACACUAACUGAUACUUCCAGAGCACUUCCAUCACUUGUUUCUUUCUAAUGCUUCUGUGACAGUGAGCUGUUUGAUAGAGUAUUUGGCAGUAUUUCUUUUGUUGUGCUUUCAGACUCUUCAAAGUUUUCUCUUAAAUUAUGUAAAUACUCUAUUAAUGACUGGUAGAGAUCCUUCAUGUCUUUAAAUUUACUUCUAAAUCUUGGACAGCUUGACUUGUCCAAUGAAAAUGCUGUAAUAUAUUAUUCCACAUAACCAACAUAAAUAAUCUAGUGCUUGCAUUUUGUUGGUGAUGUUUUCAGCUUCACUUUUGCUAUUUCCUUUUCGUGUCUGGUCUUCAACGAUAUUUUCUAAGGCACUUAGAAUUUGCGUGUAGGAUUCCAGGAUUGCACUUGUUGCUAUUGCAUGCACUUCACAGUGUGUAUUAGGAAGAAUUUUAAUACUCAAUCAUUUCCUAAAUAUGUUUUAAGAACUGCCCAUUGGUGAGCAGAGGCAGCAAAAAAUGUGUAGAGUAACUGAACAGUAGAAAAAAAAAUCAACUGCUUCUGGACAACAAUCUACUAUACUGCAUCCUACAAGAUUAAGUGACUGCCCAGCACAAGGUAUGAAAAUGGUAUAUCCCUUACAUUCUAAUAUUUUCCGUUGCAUGUCUUUAUAUCACCCUGACAUAUUGGCCGCCUUGUCAUAGGACUUGCCUCUGCACUUAGAAAAAUAAAUUUUUUGACUUUACAUAAACAGCGAAGUGCUUAAUUUGCAAUUUCUUCACUAGUAUGACUUUUUAAGCUAGUAAAUGUGAUAUAUUUCUUGACAAGUUUUCCAUCUGUUGGAGAUAAAAAAAAAAAAAAAAAACAGUGCCGUGGAGCUGAUUCCGUCUCAUAGCGACCCUAUAGGACAGAGUAGAACUGCCCCAUAGAGCCUCCAAGGAGCGCCUGGAGGUUUCGAACUGCUGACCCUUCGGUUAGCAGUGGUAGGACUUAACCACUACGCCACCAGGGUUUCCGUUGGAGAUACAUAUCAUAAAACAAUACUUAGCUGAUCUGUAUUAGAAAUAUCAGGAGUGGGAUCUAACAGACAAAGCGAAAUAUUGAGCUAUACUUAUUUCAUUGAAAAUAGCUGAUUGAACUUCCUCACUUAGUUUAUUAAUUCUUCACAUGUUGUUUUAGACAUAUACAAUGGGUUGUCCUUUACUGUGUUACCAUAUUUUUAUAUGUGACCUGCUAUAAAUGCAUCAAACUGAGCAACAAGUUCAAGUAAACCCCCAAAAUUUCCAUUUAGUAGGGACUCAAACACUUCAUUUCUUCUUCGAUUAUAUAGUCCACAUUCAGCAAUGGUUGUAAUGACAGCAACAAUGGGUUGAAACACUGCUUUCCAAUACUGAUUUCUUCAUUAAUUUAUAUUUCCAGUUCAUGAGUUAAGCCAAAACCAUGUCUUCGGUUCAAAUGUGACAACAUACAAUCUCUGAACUGAAGUAUUUUCAUGUUUAGCAAGCACAUUCGAGUUGCAGUAAUCACAAAAUCCAUCCGUAGCAAAUCUAGAAUUAAAUGAUUUAGGACUGAACAGUUUGCAAACAAAACAAUAUACAGACCCACCUGAUGGAGAAGGCAGUAGUCACUCCCCCUUAUAAUUUUCACCAUUAGCUUUGCACCCUAGAAAUACAUCCUGGCUACAGAAUCCUGUGUGUUUACCAUCCAGAAAUUUUUGACACAAAUUUUCAAAUGGCCCACUGUGAUGUUGACAACCAUGUGGCCCUCUUUUGAUCUGAUAAUUCACAUCAUUUGAAGAAAAAUUACUCCACAAAGCAGGAUCUGUAUUUCUGUAAUUUACGGGGUCUGCAGAUGUGACAAUUUCAGAUUCUAAAAUAUUUUGCUUUCUACACCAUUAUUAAUUUUUUUACUACAGCAAGGAAUGGAUGCAUAAUUUGGAACAAAUUCUGUUAUAUUCAUAUUGCUAUUAGUAAGUUCAGCACUAGUGGUACUAAUACUAUGAUUUGCACCCAUUAAACACAAGCAUUCAAUGGAAGACAUCUCUUCUGAUUGUUUUCAGAAGGAAGUUAAUUUGGGAAUUGUCUUUAGGAAUUCACAAAUCCUUUUCUUUUUAUCUUCUGCAAGCUUUCAUUUUUGUGCCCCACUUAGUUGUUGCCAUUUAAUUUUACCUGGAUAUAAGAUUAUGUCACUUCAAUAUUCUACAUCCUAGUUCAGUGAGUGGCCAUCUAAGAUACAACUAUUGGUCUUUGCUCAUCUGGAGCAAAAAAGAAGAAAACCAAAGACUCAAAGAAGAAACUAGUCUACAGAACCAAUAGUCUACACAAACAACAUCAACUACUUUAAGACCGGAAGAGCCAGAUGGGACGCAGCUACCACUACCGACCGUUCCGACCAGGGACUCAAUAGAUGGCCCUGGAUAGAAUGGGAGAAAAAUGUAGAACAAAUCUCAAAUUUCUAAAAAAAAAAAAAAAAAAAGCCAAACUUACUGGACCAAUAAAACCUAGAUGAACCCUUGAGACUAUCACCUUAAGAUACUUUUUAAUCUUGGAACUCAAACAACUCCCAGAGGUCACCUUACAGUCAAAUGACAGAUUGGCCCUUAAAAUAAAUAUCAUCCAUGUGUACUGUGCUCCUCAAAAUAAUCAUCUAAAUGAAACUAGAUAGUAAACAUUUAUCCUAGAUCAAAGAUGAGAAGACAAGGGGAGACAGGGAAGCUAGAUUAGUAGAAACAGAACAACCAGAAUAGAAAUAAUAAGAAUACUGAUAUAUUAUGAAAAAUGUAACCAACGUCACUGAACAAUACGUAUAAAAAAAAAAAGUAUAGAAAUUAUUAAAUGCAAACUUAAUUUCCUGUGUAAAUUUUCACCAAAAACACAAUAAAAUAUUUUUAUUUAUGUCACUUUUUAAAUCUGAUUCUACCAUAAUAAAUUUGAAAAACUGAAAAUAAAUAAAAUUUAUUUAAAAAGUAAAACUUACAAAAUAAAAUUUACAUUUGAAUUUGGGUGUUAACACAAAAAUUUAUAUUCGAAAAUUAGUAAGUAAAAAAAUUUGAUUUGGAACAUGUAGUUUCUGUUCUUCAGGUCUGAGAUAGUCAAAAGAAAUAAUACUUACAAAGCAGUCUGAAAUAAUUUCAUUCACUUAUCACAGGAUGUUUGUUGGCGGGCCCUUUGCAGAUCUUCACAAAUGUUUUUAGUCUUAAAAUAAUACUUAAAAACUUACACGCUUGCCUUCUGUCCUUUCAUGCUGUGUCUUUGCAAUGCAUUGGACUAUUGCUGAUACCCAACAGUAGUGAGAGCAAUCGCAAAGAACAUGAUACAAAUACAAGGUUAUUAUGCUCAAUCUCAAGAUGUAUUUUAGUUCACUUUGUGCAGGAUGAGAUAUGUCACAAGUCAUGUGAUUAUAGUGGCGCUAGCAUGUUCUUAUGUGGUCAACGAAAGAGAACUGAAUGUAAGGUUAUACCCGAUCAGUCGAUUUGAAAAGGAAAAUAUAAUUGUUAUCAUAUACAAAAUUUACAAAAUGGUAUCAAUUUCAUUUAGUGCCUUGCCAGUUCCCUUCCACUAUGGCACUCACUUUUCCUUGUGCCUGUCUGCUUGGCAUCUAUGGGUCUUUGCUUUGGACAACUGGUGCCCUGUUUUGUUGAUGCCCCAAGCACAUGCUUACUUUGCUUAUUGAUUCAUCCCUGUGCAUGGCUCAUGCCCUCACCCCCUACAAGACUUAAGCUCAAAUAACAUCUUCUCAGUGAGGACACCCUGUUAAAACUGCAACCUUCCCAACCACCCUAACUCCUACUCCUGCUUUAUUUUUCUCCUUAGCAUUUAUUGUCAUCUAAAAAAAAGUAAAUAAAUAAAUAAGGAGCCCUGGUGGCACUCCACAGGAGAGAGAUAUGGCUGUCUGCUUCCAUAAAGACUACACCCUUAAAAACUCUAUGGGGCAGUUCUCCUCUGUCUGAUAUGGUCACUAUGAGUCACGACUGACUCCACACAAGGGGAAACACUACAUAUUUUUGUUAUUACUCUCCUCCCUCAUUAGAAUGUAAACUCCAUGAGAGUAAGGAUCUUGUGUAUUGCCCACAGCUACAGUGCCUAGAACAAUGCUUAGCACAAAGUAAGAACUCAAUAAAUAUUUGUUGAAUGAACAAAUGAAUCUUAUUCAGUCUCAUGACUUUAAAAUGCCACUUAUAUGCUGAGAACUUUUAUUUCCCUCAUCCUGUUUCGUCCAUUUAGCUUUUAACCUUUUAUACCCAUUGGCCUGUUUGACAUGGAUGUCCAACAUUGUCAUUCUGUGUCAUUGAGUUGAUUUCAACUCAUGGCAACCCCAUGUGACACAGUAGGACUACCCCCACAGGGUUUCCUAGGCUGUAAUUUUUACAGCAGCACAUUGCCAGAUCUUUCUUCUACGGAGCCACUGGAUGGUUUUGAACUGCCAGCCUUUCAGUUAGCAGCCGGGUGCUUAACCAUUGCACCAUCAGGGCUCCUUAUGGAUGUCUAAUAAGCCAGCCAAACCAAACCCGUUGACUUCAAGUCAAUCCUGACUCAUAACCACACUAUAGGACACAGUAGAACUGCCCCAAAGGGUUUCCAAGGAGCACCUGGCGGAUUCAAACUUCCACCCUUUUGAUUAGUGGCCGAACUCUUAACAACUGAGCCACCAGGGCUCCAUGGAUGUCUAAUAGUUAUAUUGAAUUUAACAUGUGGAAAACUGAAUUCUUGAUUCUAUUCACUCUUCUUCCCAACAACUUCUCCACCAGUGUUUGCAGUCUUGGAAGAGGUCAAUACCAGCAUUCAGGAGUUACUCAGGUUAAAAAACAAAAUGCCAAAUUGGCAACAUCCUUGAUUCCCCUCUUUCUUUCCCAUCUCACAGUCAAUCCGUCAGCAGUUCCUCUGGGACCUACUUUCUAAAGGUCUGGAAUCUGACUGUUCUAACCCACUCCACUGCUAUCACCCUGGUCCUAGCCACCACUGUCUACCUCUUGGAUCACUGAGCAAGCCCUCAACUGGUCUCUGCUUCCACUUCUGCUCUCAUAGCAGCCAAAGGGAAUCUUCUAUAAUGUACUGGGAUUAUGUCAGCUGCAGUCACUGCCCUGCUCCCCACUUCCCAAUGAAUUCCCAGGGCACGUGGAAUAAAAUCCAGCCCUGCAUGGUCGGGCUGCUGCCUCCUUCUCCAACUUCAUCUCUUUCUACUUUUCCCCUCAUUCAUCAUGCUCCAGCUACGGUGGUCUCCCUGCUGUUCCUCAAACCCAGCAAAGACAGCUCCCACCCCAGGUCUUUAACCCCACCUCUAACUCCCCGUCCCCUUCCCCCCCCACCACCACCACCCACAUAUUCAUAUGGCUGAAGCCUUCACUACCUUCAGGUCUCUGCUUACUUACAACUCCUCAGAGAGGCUUUCCCUGACCAUCUAGCCAAAAGUGUACCCAUCACUCUCAGUUCCCCUACCUUGUUUUAGUUUUUUUUUCCAUAUUACUUAUCUCUCUCUUACAUUGUUUAUUUAUUCAUUUGGUUUCUUGUCUGUCUUUCUCAUUAGAAUGUAAGUUCCAAUUGGAAACGAUGAGCCUUGGUGGCACAAUGGUUAAGUGCUCAGCUGCUAACCAAAAGGUCAGCAGUUUGAACCCAUCAGCCUUCUGUGGGAGAAAGAUGUGGCAGUCUGCUUCUGCAAAGAUUACACAUGGGCAGUUCUACUCUGUCCUUAGGGUCACUGUGAGUCGGAAUUGACUGGACGGCAAUGAGUUUUCAGGAGAGAGUUGAGGAGUCAGUUUUGGCUCUGCCACUUAUUGGCUGUGUAACCUUGGGCAAGAUUAUUCAUCUCUCUGAGCCUCAGUCUCUUCAUCUACAGGCUGACAGAAACAGGACAACAAACAUGCCUGUUUGAGGUGGUGUGAGGAUAUGAGAAUGGAUGCCAAGUGUUUAGAAUAAUGCCUGACAGUAGUUAAGUAUUCAGUAAAACAGCUCUUGAUAAUAAUUCAGAGAUCCCUAUAUUGGCACUGAAUGCUUCUGACAUUUAUUUCUGGUAGGGUGUGUGUGUGUUUGGCUUAAAUUGCAGGUAAAAGGAUUCCAUUGUGAUUCACUUUUACACUCCUAGUUCCCAGUACAGUUUCUGGCCUAUAGCAGGCAGCAGCAAAUUCUUCUAAAUUAAUGAGAAUUAGUCAAAUGGUGACUAUUUAGGAGAUAGAAAGUUAAAAUGAUGGAUUGCAAUAUAGUCUAGGACACAGGAAUGAGGUUUAUAGAAAAAAAAUAACAGCAGAGUGGUUAAAGCGCGUGCUUUACUACUGGCUUCUCUACUUACUGGGUAACCUUAGGUGUAUUCGUUAACAUUUCAGUACUUCAGAUUCCUCAUCUAUAAAACAACAGUACAACCGUGAUAGGGUUGUUGAGAGGAUGAAAUGAGAAUGCAAUUGAGAAGCUGAGUGCUAGGACUGGCAUGGAGUAAGCAUUCAAUAAGAUUAACCACUACUACAAAAUUGUUAUCUUUUGCUGAAUAGCGAUCCUUCCCACCCCCUAAAUUUAUUGGCUUAAAACAGCAACAUGUAUUGUUUUGUAGGUUGACUGCGAGAGUCUUCUGUUGUUCUCACCUGAUCACUUAUGUGCUUAUUUGGCAGAUAGAUUAGCAUUGGAUAAUCCACAUGUCUGGAGGUUCUGGCUAUCGGCUGAACCUACUCUCCAGAUGGCCAGCCCAGGCUUCUUCACACUACAGUAGUCUCAGGACAGCAAGAACAGGAGCUGCAGGAUCUCAUGAGGCCUAGGUUCAGAAGGGAUGCAGCAUUUUUUAACUCACAUUCUACUACUGGAGAGCUGUGUUUGUGGGAGUCUGUGACCUUAAUACCUCACAACAUGUUUUCUCCUUUUCAAAAUGGGCAAUUGAGAGCCUGACAUAACUAACACCAUAAUGAUACUCUAAGUAACCUACAAGUGUUUUUUUUGUUUGUUUGUUUUUUUAAUUGCACCAGCUGCACUGAUCUCUUUCCAAAGUGGUACAGGGCCUUCUCAGCUCUUGCAGCAUUGGUCUCUCUCCUCUUCUCUGUUCUUUUGGGAGAUGGCCUUCAGCCUGCAAAACAGCAGCUAGGAAGGCUGUCUCGUGCUUUUGGUCUGCAACUUUCUUUCUUGCUCCUUAUCUCAGUCAGAGUGGACUUGGUAGUCCAAUUCCACUAGCUGAGCAACUUUUAUAUAAGUUUUUUUUUUUUUUUGCCUGUUACAAACAUAAAGACUAGAGUCCAGAUGUCUGGCAUGCAUAUCUUUAGUUUAAUAAAGUUUCUUUUAGCUGUUUUGUGAUGCAUAUGCCCAUCUGUGGGCUACAUGUUUGAAAACAUUAGGUAAUCCUUGCCAAAAUGAUACAUAAGCUCUGAUGUAAAAAUUGCUUUUCAGGACUCCAUAAAGACAGCCUGCGUUGCUGCCAGACUGCCCGUUGGUGUCACCUCCUAAUAAACUUUGUCUCUCUUUCUGGCUUGGAGUAUGUUUCAUCGGUUUAACUGCUCCAGGGCACAGACCCCAACUGGAUAACAAGUUUUGGCGCCCAACAUGAAUGGGGCUCAAAUUACUCCAGCCCUGGCUCCAUCUCCCUAAGGACUGGGCCCCAGGAAGGACCCAGGAAGAGAGAAGGUGCACCCCUCCUUAGCUUGUGGAGGUCUCUCAACCUGUGGUGGCCCAGAGGUCCAGCGACAGGGGAGGACUCCACAGCAGCAAGCUCAUAGACAAAGUUUCUGUUGGCCACAGUAGGUAACUGAGCAUCGGGUGGUCAAUCCUCUGUAAAAGUCACAGAGGCGUCGGUUCUCAUAGACUCCCUCCAAGAAUGGUGAGGUUGGACGAGAGACCAGUGAGGUUCCCCGAUGCAAAUGGGUACCCAGGGAAGUAAGGUUCCAGCCGAGAGUCCGCUAGGUCUUAUUCUUUCUAACUGGAUUUAUUUUGGAGUGGAUUCCCUAAGAGAUAUCUUAAAAUUUUUGUGUAAUCAGGUGUGGCCUCAGUACCAACUCCUCGAUGGGGUCAGAUGACCUAUGAAUGGUUCUCAGGAUUCUGACACUAUUCUGCAGCUUGAUCUGUUUUGUACUCGAACUAACAAGAUGAAAGGCUGUAUGAAGAAUGUUUUAUGACAUUAUCGCAUGACAAAAAGGAUAAAGCUUCUGUUUUAGCCCCUCCAGUGCAGGCCAAAGAUGAAGAUGAAGAAAGAGAUGAAGAACCAGUUAAUGUUCUUCUCAUUCCCCCACCUCUCAGCACCUAUUCGUGAUCCUCCCUGGUGGUAUAAGAGGAUGAGGAUGGGAAGGCAGUAAAGCGGGUUAGAGAAGGUGGGAAAAAUUUGGUCUCCCCGCCUCACACUAGAAGUGGGGCUCAGUUCGACCUAGCUCCCCUGGGACAGCUUUACCCACUCCAUGAGGUGCCAGUGCCUGCAGCUGAAGGGCCACCUCAGAUGAUGGGGGUCCGUAAUCCAGUCCCAGCUUCUGAUUUGCACAAUUGGAAAUGAAACCUCUUUGUGUAUCAGUCAGACCCACAUGCCAUGACUGCACAUUUUUCCCACAUUUUUGCUACCCACCAUCCUAAAUGGGCUGAUUGACAGACUUUAUUAGAUGCACUCCUCACAGCCAAAGAAAGAUGGAUGGUCUUAGCAAAAGCAAAAGCCAAGGACAUGAAGAAACAGGCCAAUCCACUCGCCACUGCUCUGGAAUCCUCUAGAGGAAAACAACGAGACCAAGUGUUAGCAAUCCAAAGACUCGUGGGCCCAGGAUUUCCAGCCCUCAAGGAACAAGACUCUUUCCAGGUGAAAUAUGUUGCAUCGGGCAGUGUGGGUCUGGCAGAAGUUCCCUUUCAGGACAGCUGUACACUCUUUCCAGCCCAGCAAUCAGGUGCUUCUUGGAUGUAGAAGGAUCUCCCCUUAGAGCCCAAGUGGACUGGACCCUUCACCGUACUACUCAGCACUCAUACAGCCAUGAAACUUGCAGGAGUUAAACCAUGGAUCCAUCGUUCCCACAUCAAGCCCUGCCCGGCCUACAGUGGCAAGAAGGAGUGAAAAGCCCAACCCAUCAACAGCCUGAACUUAAGACUUUCUAGGGUUAAAAAUGAGUUGGAAUCGACUCGACGGCACUGGGUUUGAUUUUGGUUUUUUUAGGGUUAAAAAGUAAAAAUGUUUGUAAUACUAGCUUGGAUGAGAUUACUAUUAGGUACCAGAGAGAGUUCCGUCCAGAGAAUCUCUACACCCGAAGUACCUCCCCACCCCUGAUCCCUUGUUAAGAAGUGAAAAUUUUUUGAUCUAUAUUGCUAGAGAAGCGUUAAACAUUACUGACUUCUGUCUGGACGGGGGGUUGUGUGCCAACUCUGCCCUCAAGUCCUGUCUCAUUGGGGUUUGUACUCCUCUAGAGGCUUUGAGAAAUUUUACCAUUUUUAAGCACAUGAAGAAAGAGUUACAAUAUUCUGAUAGUUGGGGGCCCAUUACAAGAUUCAAAGACAGAGAGAUGUAUACACUUCAGGUUUCCUUGGUGACUAAUGCCUCUCACUGUGUGAUAUUCUCAAAAUGUCAAACAAGCUGUGUUGAUUUAGGAAGAAACAACCAUAUGAAUCGUGGUUUCAUUGACAGAGUGACAUACCCAACUGCUCAUGUUAAGCUUCCUUCAGGCUGGUUCCUGCUCUGUGAAACAACUGCUUAUUCUUAUAUCCCUGCUAAUGCUACCAAUGGGCCCUGUUCAAUGGAACAUUUGACUAUGAACUUGCCUCAAAAGAGAUUCCUCUGAAAUAGGGUCACUAGAGAACUUGUCCUAGAUGCAAUCUGUGAUGAUAAUCUACACUUGUUAAGUAAAAGCUGAAUAUAUCUCCCUUGCAAAAAUCUUGGUUGGUAUCCCAGGUUUAACCAUUAGAGCUUAUCGAAUACCACAUCACAAGCCAUAGAUGCUAUUAGCCAGGAAUGGUCGGGGAAACUGUUUUAGAAAAUAGAGCUACCUUAGGCUACUUGUUUCUACGACACAACCACGGGUGUCAAGAGUUCAAAGGAAUGUGCUGUUUCAACAUUACUGAUAAUUCUGAACUCACUGAACAAAAAGUAAAUUAUGUAAAAGACGAGCUACAAAAAGUAAGAUUCAAGAAGGAUUUGUUUUUCUUGGAUGACAUCUUGGCUGCCCGAUCUUAACUGGCUAAAAACCUUACUCAUCAGUAGAAUCAGAUUGGUUGUUACAGGCCUAUUAAUCUGUUGCUGUCUCCAAUUUAUGCCUAUAUGUGGGAUGGCAUUCCCUGUCCCAAAUCAGACCGUCCAGUGGAUGGCUCAAACCCAUCACACAUGGGAGGCCCAAUCCUUCUGCUUGAGGCAUUUUGAUCUGAGGGACUAGGCUGAAACUUGGGAUAGAUAUAUAUGGCCACCCAUGCUUCAUAAGGGGGGAAUAUAGAGGCGGGGCCAAGAUGGCAGAGUAGUCAAACACUUCCUGUGGUCCCUCUUACAACAAAGAACUGAAAAAAACAGGUGAAGUGAUUAUAUUUGACACGCUAGGAGCCCUGAACAUCAUAGGCAAAGUUGUGAAAUCGGACUGAGUGGCAGGGGGAGGGAGAAAUAAUUCAGAAGCAGCAAGGAGUUGCCAGACCUGACCUGGCAGUAACCAGCACCCUGGAGGCCGAUUCUGCUGGCACGACUGCUGUGAGGCAACCAGUGGUGUUCAGGAUGUUUUUCCGCAUCGGGAGAAAAUGAGUGGCAGAGAGCGCAACCCUCCAGGACAAGAAAAAAAAAAAAGCGGUCCUCAAUUGGCAAAUAGAUAAGUACCUGCAUUUAACCUACCUUGCGGAUCCAAAAAUACACCAUUGGAAAAAACCUCUCUCCCAUUUACCUACUCUCUUCCCGCUCUGCACCGGGUCCCAGCCGGCUGCAUCCCUUGGGCCAGAAGAAGGACCCUGCACUUGCCCUGGUCCAUCCUUCCAGUCUUGGAGAGGGAACAAAUUAACAAAUAGGGAAAAAAUAAUCCAUCAGCUCCCCUAAGCCAGGAACUCAGGGCAGAAACAGCUCCUUUGCCUAAGCACAGGUAUAAGGGGCCCACAGACUUUGAAUGCCUUUCACUCCUGCAUGGACCUGUGUGGGCCCAUUUCAACAGUGUAGGACCUCAUUAGCACAGUACAACAGGCUAUAUAUCUGAAGUCUGACUUUGAAAAUUUCAGCUACAUAGUGAAGAGGCAGAUUUGUGAUGUUUGACACCACCUGCCUAUUAGGCAGGGUUCUCACCUAUGCACAACAGGGGCCUAAGGACUGGUGGCUCCACUCAUGACACCUAGCCACCCAUGACAGGGGUCAAAGAAUAAGUGGUGACUCCUAGUCCUUACAGCCAGCAGCACUGGGUGCCUACAGCCGGGCUGCAAAACAUACCCACCUAUGUGUUCUAGGGAACAAGGACACACUUUCCUCACAGACACUCAGGGCAGUUGUCAGCCCCCAGCCUUACUCAGAGUGUGGUCCUCUACUGCGCCCAGAUACCUGUGCCUACACCAAUCACCCCUGCUCAUCUAGGACUGUAGGUGAGAGCCUCUACCGCACACGUGGUGACUGACUACCUGGACACAAAAGCUGAAUCCAUACAAGAAAAGUGAAUGGACUCGUGCACUCACAUACCUAGUAACAGCUCUAACCACCUGGCAACAGGAUGUUAGAGCUUCAGAGGCACCAAUAAUCAAACUAUCUCACGAGCAGCCUAUUUGGGCAUAUCAAAACAAAACAAGAAGCUAGGAUACAAUUCCACCCAGUGCCAUCUAGCCAUCAAUAAAUACUAUAUUUAUUUAUUUUAUGUUUGCUUAUUAGGAUACAAUAAGCAAACAUAAAAUAAAUAAAUAUAGUAACUUAUUGAUGGCUCGGACACAACAGUCAAUAUCAAAUCACAUAAACAGGCAGACCAUGAUAGCUUCAGCAAGCUCCCAAAACAAAGGAUCAAGAAAUCUUUCAGAUGAAGAGAACUUCCUGGGAUAACAAAAGGUGGAAUACAAAAGAUUAAUAUACAGAACACUUCAAGAGAUUAGGAAGGAGAUCAGGCAAAAAGCAGAACAAGCCAAGCAGCACACAGAUAAAGCAUUAGAAGAACCUAAGCAGAUUAGAAAAGAGUACAAUGACAAAUUUAAUAGCCUGCAAGAAUCCACAGAGAGACAACAAGCAGAAAUUCAGAAGAUCAACAACAAAAUUUCAGAAUUAGAUAAUUCCAUAGAAAGUCAUAAAAGCAGAAUUGAGGCAACAGAUGUCAAAAUCAGCGACACUGAAGAUAAAGCACUUGGCCUCAACAUAUUUGAGGAAAGAUCAGAUGAAAGAAUUUUUUUAAAAAUGAAGAAACUCUAAGAAUUAUGUGGGACUCUACCAAGAGGAAUAACCUACCAGUUAUUGGAGUGCCAGAACAUGGGAGGAUAACAGAAAAUACAAAGAGAGUUGUUGAAUAUUUGCUGGCAGAACACUUCCCUGAUAUCAUGAAAGACGAGAUGAUAUAUAUCUAAGAUGCUCAUCAAACCCCACACAAGGUAGACCCCAUAAGAAAGUCACCAAGACAUAUUAUAGUCAAACUUUUCAAAACCAAAAAUAAAGAGAGAAUUUUAAGAAUGGCUAGGGAUAAACAAAAAGUCGCCUACAAAAGAAAGUCAAUAAGAACAAGCUCAGACUACUUGGCAGAAACCAUGCAGGCAAGAAGGCAAUGGGAUGACAUACAUAAAGCCUUGAAGGAAAAAAAAUUGCCAGCCAAGAAUUAUACACCCAGUAAAACUGUCUCUCAAAUAUGAUGGUGAAAUUGGGACAUUUCCAGACAAAGAGAAGUUUAGGGAAUUUGCAAAAACCAAACCAAAAUUAAAAGAAAUACGAAAGGGAGUCCUCUGGUUAGAAAGUCAACAACAUUAGAAAAGAACCCACAACUAGAACACAGGACAGAGCAAAGAGAUAUCAACCCAGGUAAGGAAAUCACAAAAAUAAAUCAAGAUAUUAAAAAAAAAAAAAGGGAAAUAGAGGCAUCAUUAUGUAAAAGAUGACAACAUUAAAACAAAAAAAAAAAGAGGAACUGAAAAAUGUACUCAUAAAUCCUUCAUAUGGAGAGGAAGUUAAGGCGGUACAAAGAAAUAAAAGAUUGUUUUCAACUUAGAAAAAUAGGGGUAAAUAUUAAAGUAACCACAAAGGAAACUAACAAUCCUACACAUAAAAAUAAAAAACAAGAAAAACAUAAAGACUUAGCAAAAACAAAACCAAAAACAAUGAAAAAGAGGAAAAGACAAUUUAUAAAGAAAAAAGACUAAGCACAGAAAAUGAAGUGGAACAAAGAAACUGUCAACAGCACAAAAAAAAAAAAUCAAACUGACAGCACUAAACUCAUACCUAUCAAUAAUUACACUGAAUGUAAAUGGUCUAAAUGCACCAAUAAAGAGACAGAGUGUGGCAGAAUGGAUUUAAAAACAUAAUAUGUCUAUAUGCUGCCUACAAGAAACACACCUUAGACUUAAAGACGCAAACAAACUAAAACUCAAAGGAUGGAAAAAAAUACAUCAAGCAAACAACAAUCGAAAAAGAGCAGGACUAGAAGUCCUAGCCAGAGCAAUUAGGCUAGAUAAAGAAAUAACGGGCAUUCAGAUUGGCAAGAAAGAAGUAAAAGUAUCUCUAUUUGCAGAUGACAUGAUCUUAUACACAGAAAACCCUAAGGAAUCCUCCAGAAAACUACUGAAACUAAGAGUUCAGCAGAGUAUCGGGAUACAAGACAAACAUAUAAAAAUCAGUUGGAAUCCUCUACACCAACAAAAAGAACAUUGAAGAGGAAAUCACCAAAUCAAUGCCAUUUACAGUAGCCCCACAAAAGAUAAAAUACUUAGGAAUAAAUCUUACCAGAGAUGUAAAAGACUUAUACAAAGAAAACUACAGUACACUUCUGCAAGAAACCAAAAGAGACUUACAUAAGUGGAAGAACAUACCUUGCUCAUGGACAGGAAGACUUAACAUUAUAAAAAUGUCUAUUCUACCAAAAGCGAUCUAUACAUUUAAUGCAAUUCCGAUCCAAAUCCCAACAACAUUCUUUAAUGAGAUGGAGAAACAAAUCACCAACUUCAUAUGGAAGGGGAAGAGGCCCAGGGUAAAUAAGGCAUCAUUGAAAAAGAAGAACAAAGUGGGAGGUCUUACUUUACCCGAUUUUAGAACCUAUUAUACCUCCAUAGUAGUCAAAACAGCCUGGUACUGGUACAACAACAGAUAUGUAGACCAAUGGAACAGAACUGAGAAUCCAGACAUAAAUCCAUCCACAUACGAACAGUUGAUAUUUGACAAAGGCCCCAAAACAGUUAAAUGGGGAAAAGACAGUCUUUUUAACAAAUGGUGCUGGCAUAACUGGAUAUACAUCUGCAAAAAAAUGAAACAAGACGCAUACCUCGCACCAUGCACAAAAACUAACUCAAAAUGGAUCGAAGACCUAAAUAUAAAAUCUAAAACGAUAAAGAUCAUGGAAGAAAAUAUAGGGACAACAUUAGGAGCCCUAAUACAUGGCAUAAACAGUAUAGAAAACAUUGUAAAGAAGAUAGAAGAAAAACUAGAUAACUGGGAGCUCCUAAAAAUCAAACACUUAUGCUCAUCCGAAGACUUCACCAAAAGAGUAAAAAGACUACCUACAGACUGGGAAAAAGUUUUUAGCUAUGACAUUUCUGAUCAGCACCUGAUCUCUAAAAUCUACAUGAUACUGCAAAAAGACAAAUAACCCAAUUAAAAAAUGGGCAAAAGAUAUGAAUAGACACUUCACUAAAGAAGACAUUCAGG